AUACGUAGGGGGCGAGCGUUGUCCGGAAUGAUUGGGCGUAAAGGGCGCGUAGGCGGCUUUGCAAGUCAGUAGUGGAAGUCCAUUUUUCAAGGAUGGAAGUGCUACAGAAACUGCGGAGCUUGAGUGCAGGAGAGGUUAUCGGAAUUCCCGGUGUAGCGGUGAAAUGCGUAGAGAUCGGGAGGAACACCAGUGGCGAAGGCGGGUAACUGGACUGCAACUGACGCUGAGGCGCGAAAGUGUGGGGAGCAAACAGGAUUAGAUACCCUGGUAGUCCACACUGUAAACGAUGAAUGCUAGGUGUAGGAGGUAUCGACCCCUUCUGUGCCGCAGUAAACACAGUAAGCAUUCCGCCUGGGGAGUACGGUCGCAAGAUUAAAACUCAAAGGAACUGACGGG
This 396-nucleotide ribosomal RNA is filed under the name uncultured bacterium. Its description in RNAcentral is "partial 16S ribosomal RNA". It matches the Rfam family "Bacterial small subunit ribosomal RNA", at positions 523 to 917 of the family's 1533-position model. The record is from RNAcentral.